Molecule: non-coding RNA, 216 nt
Filed under: Desulfocarbo indianensis
Lineage: Bacteria; Pseudomonadati; Thermodesulfobacteriota; Desulfarculia; Desulfarculales; Desulfarculaceae
Source: RNAcentral
AUAUGUUCCAUGGCGAUAGGCCCCGCCAAGGGCUAAGAGGGAAGACGGUGUGAAUCCGUCGCGGUCCCGCCGCUGUUACCGGGGACGAAAACCGCGAAUCGGUUCGCCGCGCGUAAGAAGACCGGCGAACCGUCGAGCCACUGCCGAUCAGGCGGGAAGGCGCGGCAAGUAGGACGAUCCGGAAGUCAGAAGACCUGCCUAUCGCAUAUGCGGCCC